ACGCCCUGCAGCGCACAUGCACACGCGUACACACAAGAAGCGCGGCAGCGUAGGGUGUGCAUGUCUGCAUGUCUGCGUGCUACUCGACCUUCGUAUUUUAUUUCUGUUCGGACCCUCUCGCGUGCUGUGUGUAUGCGUAUCCCUGGAAGAGGAGUAAGGGGGUGGGGCACUGCCCCCAUCAUUCCUCUAUGCUCGACGCCUCGCCUUCUUCUCGCCUCUUUCCUGAUUCAGCGCCGAAUCGCUCGCAUACAUCGAACAAGAGAGGGCACUGACAACACCACGCUAAAAAUGCGACUUCCUUUUUUUGUUUUAACGUGUGCACCUUUUUUGCCUGGCGCAACAGGAGUCACACACCACUCUACACCACGCCACACCACCACCCGCCAGUCUGCCGCGGGCCCCGUCGCCUGGUGCGAAGCAUGCCGUUCGCACACGCGUUGCAGCCGUGCGCCGUCCCAGUCAGCUGAGAGCACGGCCUCUGCCUCACACGCUACGCGCCACCGCUCCGCGGGCCGCCUCGCAGCCGGCUCCCCUCAUGCCGGUCGCCACCUGGUGCAUCCUCCUCGGCGUGGCACGCAGGCUCCCCAUCAGCAGGCAGUGAGGGCCGGGUGGGAUACGCUCGAGCUCGGUUGGCGCUGUGCCCAUCAUGCGGAUGCGCAAGCGUGUGCACCGUCGCGGGUCGCCCGCGAUGCCGCGCCAUCCAGCGCCUGACCGCCGGCAUACCAGCGGCGGUACAUCGCUGUGACCCCUCCGCACAUGCUAGGUACUUGAGCCUGGCACCGCCACAAGCGGUUCCGGCAUUGGCAGGGUGGGUGUGUACGGGAGGCCCUGGGAUGCCAUGCACCGAGAGGUAUGUGUGUCUCUUCGUCAUGAGUGAAGAAGUAACAAAAUUUUAUUUAUUGGGAGUUGAGAUGAAUAUGAUGGAUGAGCAGAUGCGAAGCGAACAAGUGAGCACCGUUUUCGAGGCCGUUCACGGCGAGUGCGCGUGUGCGCGGCACACGGCUGAUCCCUAUCCCUUUUUCGUUUGCCUCUUUCCCGGCACGGCUUUGCCUUCUUCCGUGCCUCAUGUGCUCUUCGUGUGUACGUUUUCUGUUUGUGUGUCAGGGAUGCCGUCAACGUCCCGCAGUGGUGCGCUGUUCCUGUGCAAACCGUCGUCUGCCCUCCAGUUUGCCCUCCCUACGCUGCCCGCGCGAGCUCACACGGAGGCAAGCGGCUUUCCGCCUCAUCACUUCUUUGUUUUUUUUUUUGUUGUUCUAGGCGGCUUGCAGAGAAAACAGAACGCGCACACGCUCACUGACUCCCGUCCGAGCCUCUCCGCUUUCUCCUCCUCCGCCCCUUUCUGCUCAUGUCUUCUGUAUCACUCCUCACGCGCAACUGAUGGGGUCGAAGACACCGUAAGGCGAGGACGACAGAGAGCGGGAGAGGCAAGGCGAGGGUGACUAUCGGCGCAGCAACGAUCUGCCGAUACGAGGUGGCACGAACAGCAACGUGUGGAUGUGUAUCCGAUGCUGCGAAGUGCACGGGACCAAACCCGCCAUCAUCUUGUGGCCUCUUUCUCUUUCUUUCGCUUUUUGAUUUUCCCCUGUCAUGCUUUUAUUUCUGUGUGCGGGUGUGUGCCAUUGGCCACGAGCGUACUCGACAUGCAUCUGGCCAUGCUGCAGCUUUUUCUGCUGCCAUCCUUCACCCUGCGCUUAUCUGCUGCCAAGCCUUCUUUGUUUUUGUUGCGUCAAGGAAAACCUCCUCUUGUAUGGCCUCCGCUGUGCGCGUGCGUCUUCUCCUUUUUUUAUCGUGGGGGCGGAGGGGCUAGGUCAUCGUCGUCGUGGCCCGGAAGGCGGAACUCCGUUCACAUGCGCCGCUCUGUCUUGCUCGGUGUGCGCGCCGACGUGUUUGUGGCCGAGCUAGUGUGUGUGUGCGUAGGUGUUGACGCACGAACUUCUUCCUUUUCUCUCGCGUUGCCCUCUCUGUGUAUUGGCACUGCUCUCUCGCUUGCGCACACACUGGAUCGUCUUUAUGUGAGUUUGCUGCAUGCCAUUCACGGCUUCCACUCUAAGGGAGGGCGUGAGUGUGCGUGGGUGUUCGCCCCUCCUGUCUUCUCCUCUUGUGCUUCUUUUCGUUUUCUUCGAUCUCUCCUGUCGUUCUAGCGGGGAUGGAUGGGCGUCUGUGCGGGUGGGUGGGCAGCUCCCCUCUCUCCUCAAUCCUCCCUCCCUCUCUCUGGCUGUGUGUGUGUGUGUGUGCUCGCGUGUCUCGUACCACGUUUUUGUUUAGGGUUAGCGAUCACUUUCGUCUUGUUCUUGCAGCACCUUGUCUUCACGCCUCCUCGUGGUGCAUGCCUUGUCUGGCACUCUCUGUCGACUGACGAUAUGGGUCACAUCACGAACGGACGAAGGGAGCGGGAGGAAGUAAAACGACAAGAGAACACACAGCAGAAGAGGAGGGAAGGAUGUGUGCGUCCAUGACUGUGAGUGCGCGUGUGGAGGUGGGGUGCGGUGGCUGAGUGCGGGACGUCUCUCUCUCUGUGUUUGUGUGUGUCUUGUCCUCGAUUGAGAGUCCAUAAGCCACACACACACACACACCUUUCGCUGCAUCGCGCACGCAGCCCCCCUCCCCCUCCCCCGCAACGCCAUGUCCAGACCCGCCCACUGCUCUGACGCAGGGAACAAGGCGGCAACUAAUUAUUUGUGAAAGCCAACCGAUAUCUUUCUCUCUCUUUGGUGCGAUCUGGCUCUGUUGUGUGCCGAACAUAUACAUGCACCCACGGGGACAAGCACCAGCCCAUGGCACAAGUGUGCGCAGAGGCGCUGUGGUGGUGCUGGCGCGCUGAAGGAUUCCAACAACGGCGAUAAACGAAAAGAAAGCGAAGAGGCUACCAGUGUAGCGGUCCCCUGGCCUUCAUGGGCGGGGGGGGCCAUGCUCAAGCAACACACACACACACACACCAAAACUGAGAUGACAGUUGCAUGUGUGUGCGUGUGCGUAUUUGGAUGGCCA
This 2988-nucleotide unclassified non-coding RNA is filed under the name Leishmania donovani. Its description in RNAcentral is "gene:unknown". The record is from RNAcentral. Lineage: Eukaryota; Euglenozoa; Kinetoplastea; Trypanosomatida; Trypanosomatidae.